RNAcentral lists this ribosomal RNA (459 nucleotides) under uncultured bacterium. RNAcentral describes it as "partial 16S ribosomal RNA". It matches the Rfam family "Bacterial small subunit ribosomal RNA", at positions 338 to 795 of the family's 1533-position model. The record is from RNAcentral.
CCUACGGGAGGCAGCAGUGAGGAAUAUUGGUCAAUGGGCGCAAGCCUGAACCAGCCACGUCGCGUGAGGGAAGACGGUCCUAUGGAUUGUAAACCUCUUUUGUCGGGGAGCAAAAGGCGCCACGGGUGGCGGUCCGAGAGUACCCGAAGAAAAAGCAUCGGCUAACUCCGUGCCAGCAGCCGCGGUAAUACGGAGGAUGCGAGCGUGAUCCGGGUUUAUUGGGUUUAAAGGGUGAGCAGGCGGAAGAUAAAGACAGCGGUAAAAGGGCGUGGCUCAACCGCGUCGGGACGUUGAAACUGGUUUUCUUGAGUGAGCGAGAGGUAUGCGGAAUGCGUGGUGUAGCGGUGAAAGGCUUAGAUAUCACGCAGAACUCCGAUUGCGAAGGCAGCAUACCGGCGCCCAACUGACGCUCAUGCACGAAAGUGUGGGUAUCGAACAGGAUUAGAUACCCGUGUAGUC